RNAcentral lists this ribosomal RNA (247 nucleotides) under uncultured bacterium. RNAcentral's name for it is "partial 16S ribosomal RNA". It matches the Rfam family "Bacterial small subunit ribosomal RNA", at positions 86 to 334 of the family's 1533-position model. The record is from RNAcentral.
AGAUGGCGACCGGCGCGCGGGUGAGUAACACGUAUCCAACCUGCCGAUAACUCGGGGAUAGCCUUUCGAAAGAAAGAUUAAUACCCGAUAGUAUGAUGAAACCGCAUGGUCUUAUUAUUAAAGAAUUUCGGUUAUCGAUGGGGAUGCGUUCCAUUAGGCAGUUGGUGAGGUAACGGCUCACCAAACCUUCGAUGGAUAGGGGUUCUGAGAGGAAGGUCCCCCACAUUGGAACUGAGACACGGUCCAA